Long non-coding RNA from Amphibalanus amphitrite, 681 nucleotides. RefSeq lists it as uncharacterized. The transcript has 3 exons. The record is from RefSeq and is a predicted model, not a curated record. NCBI's taxonomy places the organism in Eukaryota, Metazoa, Arthropoda, Thecostraca, Balanomorpha, Balanidae.
AGUUCAGCGGCUGGCCGCCAGUCAGCGCCACUGUCGGCCGGAACGGAGGCGCCACCCGAGGCGACCAGCCACUCCACCUGGCGGACGGAGGGCAGUCAGCGCAGGGAGACCUCCGGAGAAGCCAGCAACCACCCACCAGCUCCAGAAAACAUGGGCAAGGGCAAGCCAGAGAAGGGAGGAGCCGCCGCCGCCGAUGCUCCGGCCGAUGAUGCCAAGGUUGAGAAGAAGGCGCCCGCCAAGCCCGCCAAGGAGGCUCCCGCCAAGGAGGCCAAGGGCGCCAAGAAAGGUGGCAAGAAGUGACCACGGGCGAUGACUGCGGAGGACCUGUCUCCGCCCCAUCACUCAUUUCAUUAUUCCACACCUCGCUCGCGCCGCCUUUCACAUUGGAGAAGAGAUGCCUUCGCCAUCACCAGCCUGCGGAGAGCUCGGAGCCGGGAGGACCGCGCUCCGGUGAAUACUGAGUGGCUGAGGGCGUGGAACGCCAUGCCUCUGGUGGUCUCCAGAUGACCCCUCUAGACAGGCUAGGUGACCGCGGGCCGCGGCGGCACCCUAAAGUAUUCGGUGGCACGGGUCCGCUGAUUGAGAGACCAGCGGUUCCCCCUCGCCUGUGUUCCUGUGACGAGCUUCUGAGCCGAUUCCAAAUGCGUGUACAGUGGUGCUAAAUAAAUUAUGAUUGUGUUA